UCCGCGCACUCUCAUAGAGUAUGAUCAUGGCUCAGAUUGUUCGCUGGCGGCAUGCCUUACACAUGCAAGUCGAACGGCAGCACGGGAGCAAUCCUGGUGGCGAGUGGCGAACGGGUGAGUAAUAUAUCGGAACGUGCCCAGUAGUGGGGGAUAGCCCGGCGAAAGCCGGAUUAAUACCGCAUACGACCUGAGGGUGAAAGCGGGGGAUCGCAAGACCUCGCGCUACUGGAGCGGCCGAUAUCAGAUUAGCUAGUUGGUGGGGUAAAGGCCUACCAAGGCAACGAUCUGUAGUUGGUCUGAGAGGACGACCAGCCACACUGGGACUGAGACACGGCCCAGACUCCUACGGGAGGCAGCAGUGGGGAAUUUUGGACAAUGGGCGCAAGCCUGAUCCAGCAAUGCCGCGUGCAGGAAGAACGCCUUCGGGUUGUAAACUGCUUUUGUCAGGAAGAAAUCUUCUGGGCUAAUACCCCGGGAGGAUGACUGGUACCUGAAGAAUAAGCACCGGCUAACUACGUGCCAGCAGCCGCGGUAAUACGUAGGGUGCGAGCGUUAAUCGGAAUACUGGGCGUAAAGCGUGCGCAGGCGGCUUUGCAGAAAAGAGGUGAAAUUCCCCAGGGCUCAACCUGGGAACUGCCUUUGUGACUGCAAGGCUAGAGUACGGCAAAGGGGAUGGGAUUCCCCGUGGAACAAGUGA
Molecule: ribosomal RNA, 697 nt
Filed under: uncultured Leptothrix sp.
Lineage: Bacteria; Pseudomonadati; Pseudomonadota; Betaproteobacteria; Burkholderiales; Sphaerotilaceae
Description: bacterial SSU rRNA
Rfam family: Bacterial small subunit ribosomal RNA
Source: RNAcentral